Long non-coding RNA from Toxorhynchites rutilus septentrionalis, 338 nucleotides. RefSeq lists it as uncharacterized. The record is from RefSeq and is a predicted model, not a curated record. NCBI's taxonomy places the organism in Eukaryota, Metazoa, Arthropoda, Insecta, Diptera, Culicidae. The transcript has 3 exons.
AAGCAAGCUUGCCAACAUUGCCAUUCAUCAGCUCACUUAUCAAUUUUGUGUCGAGAAGUCAAGACGGACAUCGUCUUUUCGUAAAACUUAAAAUGAGAGCUAAGUGGCGUAAGAAGCGUAUGCGGAGGCUAAAGCGAAAACGCAGGAAGAUGCGUGCGAGGUCCAAGUAAAUUUCAGGAUGCCGGCAUCUGCUUCCGCAGUUAAGUAUUAGGCAUCUAAGUUAUUUACUGUUAAGUACCGAGGACAUAUAUGCUAUCGGAUCUUGAAUGUAUUUUACUAUGUGAAAUAUGAAUAAAAACAGAAUAGGCACCGGACAUGAAAUUAAUGUAACGGCAAAA